RNAcentral lists this ribosomal RNA (509 nucleotides) under uncultured bacterium. RNAcentral describes it as "partial 16S ribosomal RNA". It matches the Rfam family "Bacterial small subunit ribosomal RNA", at positions 30 to 523 of the family's 1533-position model. The record is from RNAcentral.
AUUGAACGCUGGCGGCAUGCCUAACACAUGCAAGUCGAACGGCAGCACAGUGUGUAGCAAUACACAUGGGUGGCGAGUGGCGGACGGGUGAGUAAUGCGUAGGAAUCUGCCCUUAAGUGGGGGAUAGCCCGGAGAAAUCCGGAUUAAUACCGCAUGUGCUCUACGGAGCAAAGCGGGCCUCUGUUUCAAGCUCGCGCUUGAGGAUGAGCCUACGUCGGAUUAGCUAGUUGGUGGGGUAAAGGCCUACCAAGGCGACGAUCCGUAGCUGGUCUGAGAGGAUGACCAGCCACACUGGGACUGAGACGCGGCCCAGACUCCUACGGGAGGCAGCAGUGGGGAAUAUUGGACAAUGGGCGAAAGCCUGAUCCAGCAAUGCCGCGUGUGUGAAGAAGGCCUGCGGGUUGUAAAGCACUUUUGUCGGGAAAGAAAAUCACAGGGUUAAUACCCCUGUGCCUUGACGGUACCCGAAGAAUAAGCACCGGCUAACUCCGUGCCAGCCGCCGCAGUAA